CGGCGGCUACCAUGCAAGUCGAGCGAGAUCUUCGGAUCUAGCGGCGGACGGGUGAGUAACGCGUGGGAACGUGCCCUUCUCUACGGAAUAGUCCCGGGAAACUGGGUUUAAUACCGUAUACGCCCUUCGGGGGAAAGAUUUAUCGGAGAAGGAUCGGCCCGCGUUGGAUUAGGUAGUUGGUGGGGUAAUGGCCUACCAAGCCGACGAUCCAUAGCUGGUUUGAGAGGAUGAUCAGCCACACUGGGACUGAGACACGGCCCAGACUCCUACGGGAGGCAGCAGUGGGGAAUCUUAGACAAUGGGCGCAAGCCUGAUCUAGCCAUGCCGCGUGAGUGACGAAGGCCCUAGGGUCGUAAAGCUCUUUCACCAGGGAUGAUAAUGACAGUACCUGGAGAAGAAACCCCGGCUAACUCCGUGCCAGCAGCCGCGGUAAUACGGAGGGGGUUAGCGUUGUUCGGAAUUACUGGGCGUAAAGCGCGCGUAGGCGGGCUGUUAAGUCGGGGGUGAAAUCCCGGGGCUCAACCCCGGAACUGCCCUCGAUACUGGCAGCCUAGAGUUCGAGAGAGGUGAGUGGAAUUCCGAGUGUAGAGGUGAAAUUCGUAGAUAUUCGGAGGAACACCAGUGGCGAAGGCGGCUCACU
Molecule: ribosomal RNA, 640 nt
Filed under: Roseicyclus sp.
Lineage: Bacteria; Pseudomonadati; Pseudomonadota; Alphaproteobacteria; Rhodobacterales; Roseobacteraceae
Description: bacterial SSU rRNA
Rfam family: Bacterial small subunit ribosomal RNA
Source: RNAcentral